CAAGAUGGCGGCGCCUGGUAGUAAAUUGACAGAUGGCAGUUUUAUAUACUUAUUUUGGUUAUAAGACUGCUUUUAAAAGGAGCUGUUGCGGAUGUUUGGCAUUCCCUACAUCGUCAGUCCGAUUGGAGGCUGAGGCUCAGUGUGCGUUUAUGGACCUCACCAAUCAAACAGAAGGAUCCGUCACCAAUGACAGCGAUAUCUGGUUAUUUGGCGGGACCUGUGUCUACAAUUUUUCCAGAGAACCAAUAUAGAUAUCAAUUAGGUUUGUGCCAAGAGAAAAUGAUCAACAUCGGCCUGCUGCGUGGCAGUGACUACACCUUGGGGGUACAGAGGGUCGGUUCUGUGUCUGUUCUGGAGAUCAUGGCCGUUUCCAGGGGAAGGAAUCCAGGCACUUGUUGACAAGUCCUGGUGGGACAGAAUAAGACAUCAAGAUCAGGAAUAAACUCAGGAAGCUGGAUAUUAACAAAGGAUUUCCCAGCACAGCAGUUGUGGAUGCUUACUUCAACCCACAAGUAGACCAGUCAGAGGAAUUAAGCCGUCUCCUGGUCGCGACCUGACCUUGACCCAACCCACAAGUAGACCAGUCAGAGGAAGCCUUCUCCUGGUCGCGACCUGACCUUGACCCAACCCACAAGUUGACCAGUCAGAGGAAGCCUUCUCCUGGUCGCGACCUUACCUUGACCCAACCCACAAGUUGACCUGUCGGAGGAAGCCUUCUCCUGGUCGCGACCUGACCUUGACCUUCUCAGAGAUUAUGCCAGAGAGAAAUUUGGCUGGAGGAAAGAAAAGGUGGAUGAGAAUCUCCGUCCGGUGAUGAAGAAGAUGAACGAGAAACAGAGCCAGGGAAGAAUUGACAAAUGCUUCCAACCAGAAGCAUUUUUAGAAUCUAAAAAGACACAAAGUUCUUGUGUCAAAAAGGCUCUCUCAGAAUUAACAACUGCUCCUACUUCUAAACUUUCCCAAACCGAAGCAAAGAUGCUAUGGAUGAAAGACAGAAAAAGUUGAAAGGUAAAGCGAUCAGUGAAAGGCAAAAGUCAAAGGGUAAAGGUAAAGUAAAGGGCAAAGGCAAGUUGAAAGAUGAUCCUAAGACGAGUGAAGGUAAGCCUUAUAAGCUUAUUAAGGAAGUUAUUGAGCUGUCGGAGAGUAGCUCAAGUGAUGAGGAAAUGGGUAGUGCAUGUAAACCCAAAGUUAGUAAGUCAGCGAAUGUUGCUGCGUCUUUGGUGAGGAGAGAUGAGAUGAAAUCCCUCUCCCAUCUGGAACCAGGAGGAUUUUGUCGGGACGACGAUGAAGAUACAAGCGAGACAGUGGGACAAAAACUUAAAUCUCACUUUGAUCGUCUCGAAAAAUGAUUUGAUAUACAGAUGGAAGUGCAACAGAAACCUAGUGGUAGUCAGACGAGUAAAAGGAGGGGUAAACAAUCCUCCAAUACUGCUGAUGAGGAAAUGACAAUGUCAAGUGUCUCACAGACAUCGAAAACUAAGGCUCGCUCAAACUUGGCCAAGGUGAACAUCUCUGACUGUUCAUCCGAUAGUGAUUAUUGAUGUAAACGUUUAAGGUUGUUCGACCUGACCUAUUUCUAUGUAAUAGUUACAUUGUAGAGGGAUUCUCUUUCUGUAUAGGUACCAUGUUCUUCUGAAGGGCAAUACAAGUAUUGUAUCUGAUUUGUGAAAAUUUCAAAAACACAUUCAAUAACAUCUAUGUUAAAAUUUGUUGUUAAUUGAAUGGAGCUAAAUUCUGUUUCUUGUCUUGACAGUAUAUGCUUUGUGUAUUGUCUGAUACUGGAUUCAAAAAUCUUUUCACACUGUCUUGUGCGCCCAUCCUUCCAGAAAGUUUACCCAUGAAUGUAUAUGAAAAUUAAUUUGUUGAAAAAAAUAUGUUCAGGAAGGACAAUUUUAAAUGUUUAGAUAUGAUAGUAUAUUUUUGAAGUGUUUUAAUUUUGUUCACAAUAUUUCACUUUC
Molecule: long non-coding RNA, 1958 nt
Organism: Mizuhopecten yessoensis (Yesso scallop)
Lineage: Eukaryota; Metazoa; Mollusca; Bivalvia; Pectinida; Pectinidae
Exons: 7
Source: RefSeq, a predicted model, not a curated record